RNAcentral lists this transfer RNA (74 nucleotides) under Fructobacillus sp. EFB-N1. Its description in RNAcentral is "tRNA-Lys". It matches the Rfam family "tRNA". From Rfam's summary of the family: Transfer RNA (tRNA) molecules are approximately 80 nucleotides in length. Their secondary structure includes four short double-helical elements and three loops (D, anti-codon, and T loops). The record is from RNAcentral. Lineage: Bacteria; Bacillati; Bacillota; Bacilli; Lactobacillales; Lactobacillaceae.
GGUUAGUUAGCUCAGUUGGUAGAGCAACGGACUCUUAAUCCGUGGGUCCAGGGUUCGAGCCCCUGACUGACCAC